RNAcentral lists this ribosomal RNA (375 nucleotides) under uncultured organism. RNAcentral's name for it is "partial 16S ribosomal RNA". It matches the Rfam family "Bacterial small subunit ribosomal RNA", at positions 527 to 896 of the family's 1533-position model. The record is from RNAcentral.
GUAGGUGGCAAGCGUUGUCCGGAAUUAUUGGGCGUAAAGCGCGCGCAGGCGGUUCUUUAAGUCUGAUGUGAAAGCCCACGGCUCAACCGUGGAGGGUCAUUGGAAACUGGAGAACUUGAGUACAGAAGAGGAAAGCGGAAUUCCACGUGUAGCGGUGAAAUGCGUAGAGAUGUGGAGGAACACCAGUGGCGAAGGCGGCUUUCUGGUCUGUAACUGACGCUGAGGCGCGAAAGCGUGGGGAGCAAACAGGAUUAGAUACCCUGGUAGUCCACGCCGUAAACGAUGAGUGCUAAGUGUUAGGGGGGUUUUCCGCCCCCCUUAGUGCUGCAGCUAACGCAUUAAGCACUCCCGCCUGGGAGUACGGCCGCAAGGCUG